Prionailurus viverrinus (fishing cat) is the source of this 1271-nucleotide long non-coding RNA. RefSeq lists it as uncharacterized. The transcript is spliced from 4 exons. The record is from RefSeq and is a predicted model, not a curated record. NCBI's taxonomy places the organism in Eukaryota, Metazoa, Chordata, Mammalia, Carnivora, Felidae.
AGCCUGCACCGCCCGCACCGCUCUGGGACAUCCGUAAUUGCUGGCAGCAUCUGACUUGCAAAACGAUACAUCGGAUGAAAGGCUUCCCGUUUUUUCAAGUAUCCCUCCCAGGACAGAGUGACGUCCGGACCCGUUUUCAUCAUCGCUAUACCUUAAAGGGUUCCAAGCGGCUACGGAUGAUUGUAUCAUAAAGAUUGAAAUGAAUAAGGGCUAGAACCAUAACCGCUUCUUUCAGCGAAGUUCCCCAGGCCCUGCAGCUUGUCUGCUCACUCCCGCGGCGCAGAACCCGAAACCACAAGGCUGAAACCUCACCAGUGCCUGCAGCUCAACCCUCCGGGGCCCUCCCCCCACCCGGCUCCACCCGGCCCUCCGGGGCCUGGGCUCUGCUACUCACAGAUGCUGACGUGGCUCUGCAGCUCCCCUGACAUCCUGCAAAACCAAAGCACAAACAUCAGCCAGACCCCCGAAGCCCGAGGGAAGGCAGGUCACAGCCCGCAGACAUCAGGAGCAGAGACACCCGCUCGAAGUGACAGCUGUCCCCAGGCUUUGGGGAAAGGGUUCCGGUCUUCCCAGAGAAGCUGGGGUCGUCCUCCCACUGCUCCAGGGGUGCAGCCCGAACUUGUCCCCAGAAGCAUGGCCCACCUGCUCUCCUCGCCCUCCAGCAGCUUCCGCCGCUGGAUGGUUCGGUUCAGCUCAGCAAUCUCCAUCUUGCUGCUCUUGAGCUCGUCUCCAUGCCUGCCCGCGGAGAUCUGGAGCUCCUGGUACUGAGGGGCAGGGGCAGCAUCAUAGCCAGGAGGCCCUCCAAGACGGUUCUGGUGCUGACAUGUGUGCCACUCAGAACUACUUGUCUGCAAGACAGUGGGUCACAGGCCCGCCAGGAUUGGAAUCAAGAAGGCAGAUCUCAAGUGCCAGGAGUUUAAAAUGUAGCGAGUGGCCUUUGACCCUUAACUACAAUCUUCAUCCUCCAAAAAGGUCUGUAUUAAAGAAGUGAUCAAAGAUGUGCCCAAAGACGUGGCCACAAAGAUGUUUAUUUGAUGAGGGCAUAUUCUUACCAUGGAAUACCACGCUGCUAUUAAAAAUAAUGUAGAAUAUUUAAUGACACAGAACGGAAUUCAUAAAUAAUAAGUGAAAGAGAAAAGUGCAAAACUAUAGGUUAGAAGAUGUCAUUAUGGGGGCACCUGAGCGGCUCAGUUGGUUAAGCGUCCAACUCUUGAUUUUGGCUCAUGAUCGUGAGAUUGAGUCCUGCACCGGGCUCUGUGCUGAGCCUGGGA